This 121-nucleotide ribosomal RNA is filed under the name Kwoniella heveanensis BCC8398. Lineage: Eukaryota; Fungi; Basidiomycota; Tremellomycetes; Tremellales; Cryptococcaceae. The record is from RNAcentral.
AUCGUCGGUCAUAGAACUGAGAAAGCACGGCAUCCCGUCCGUUCUGCCAAGUUUUGAGCUCAGUAUCGCUCGAUUAGUACCAUCGUGGGGGACCAAGUGGGAAUUCCGGGUGCUGAUGUUU